RNAcentral lists this long non-coding RNA (1211 nucleotides) under Sorghum bicolor (sorghum). RNAcentral describes it as "long non-coding RNA (SBIC_LNC002766)". The record is from RNAcentral. Lineage: Eukaryota; Viridiplantae; Streptophyta; Magnoliopsida; Poales; Poaceae.
CCAAUACUAUAAGUAGUCAUACUCAUAAAUAAAUGUCACAGAAUGAGCAACAAAUAUCAGGUGUUGAAGUUAUAAGAAACUGGCCAUCAACAUGUCCAAGAAAGUUGCUUGGGUUGAACCGCAGAAGGUUUAGAGGGGGGUCAUGCUCCCAGUAUAUGCAAUACAGUAAAAAACAUGAACAAAGAUCCAUCAACAUCAUCAUCCUCAUACAGCACAUUUUGAUAGCAGUAAGUAAUAACCUAGCAUAGCAAUUGCCAAAAGGCAAGCUUCAAUAAGCUGAUAAAAGUGAAACACAGCAGCACUGGCAAUUAAACUAGGCACCACAGCAAGCUGAUAUCUGAACAAUCCAUCAAAAUGGCAUGACCUUUGAGCACGCAAAACCACUAAAUUAUAUAUGGUGUUCCGCGGUGACGUUUUUACAGAUGCAUAUGUUGAUGCAUUCAAUAGAAGAUGUGCACCAAAAUUGCAAAUACUGUAAGUAGUCAUACUCAUAAAUAAAUGUCACAGAAUGAGCAACAAAUAUCAGGUGUUGAAGUUAUAAGAAACUGGCCAUCCACAUGUCCAAGAAAGUUGCUUGUGUUGAACCACAGAAGAUUUAGAGGGUCAUGCUCCCAGUAUAUGCAAUACAGUAAAAAGCAUGAACAAAGAUCCAUCAUCAUCAUCAUCAUCCUUAUACAGCAUAUUUUGAUAGCAGUAAGUAAUAAUCUAGCAUAGCAAUUGCCAAAAGGCAAGCUUCAAUAAGCUGAUAAAAGUGAAACACAGCAGCACUGGCAAUUAAACUAGGCACCACAGCAAGCUGAUAUCUGGUGUGCCAUCAAAAUGGCAUGACCUUUGAACAAGCAAAACCACUAAAUUAUAUAUGGUGUUCCACGGUGACCCUUCUACAGAUGCAUCUGAUGAUGCAUUCAAUAGAAGAUGAAAAAACUGUAAAGUGCAUGGUAAAUAAUGCUCAAAUAGUCUACAUAAAACACGGAAAAUUACUCAUGCAAAAGAAUGAUAUAAUAAGAGGCUGUGCCAAUGACCAAAAAGGUUUUGGGAAAAAAGGGUCUAUAAUGCAGCCAAUGCACAUUAAUUAAUAUAAGUACGCAUGGAAAGAAACAAUCAAAUCAACUGUGAUGCCAAUUCAGCCAGCAUCUGAUAGCAUCCAUGAGUAACCCUUUAGGUAGAAGUAUAGAGUUAGUCCAGUAAAUGAGAGAAUAAUUUGUCAGAAG